This 513-nucleotide ribosomal RNA is filed under the name uncultured marine bacterium. Its description in RNAcentral is "bacterial SSU rRNA". It matches the Rfam family "Bacterial small subunit ribosomal RNA", at positions 60 to 618 of the family's 1533-position model. The record is from RNAcentral.
AGUCGAACGAAGUAGCAAUACUUAGUGGCAGACGGGUGAGUAACAUGUAGGUAUCUUCCCUUUGGCCUGGAAUAACACGAGGAAACUUGUGCUAAUACCGGAUAAGUCUUUACAGAGAAAGCUUUAUGCACCAUUGGAUGAGCCUGCACUUGAUUAGUUUGUUGGUGGGGUAACGGCCUACCAAGACUGUGAUCAAUAGCUGAUUUGAGAGGAUGAUCAGCCACAUUGGGACUGAGACACGGCCCAAACUCCUACGGGAGGCAGCAGUGGGGAAUCUUGCACAAUGGAGGAAACUCUGAUGCAGCGAUGCCGCGUGAGUGAAGAAGGCCCUUGGGUUGUAAAGCUCUUUCGUCGGGGAAGAAAAUGACUGUACCCGAAUAAGAAGGUCCGGCUAACUUCGUGCCAGCAGCCGCGGUAAUACGAAGGGACCUAGCGUAGUUCGGAAUUACUGGGCUUAAAGAGUUCGUAGGUGGUUGAAAAAGUUGGUGGUGAAAUCCCAGAGCUUAACUCUGG